RNAcentral lists this ribosomal RNA (1040 nucleotides) under Mammaliicoccus sciuri. RNAcentral's name for it is "bacterial SSU rRNA". It matches the Rfam family "Bacterial small subunit ribosomal RNA", at positions 210 to 1281 of the family's 1533-position model. The record is from RNAcentral. Lineage: Bacteria; Bacillati; Bacillota; Bacilli; Caryophanales; Staphylococcaceae.
GGCUGUCACUUAUAGAUGGACCCGCGCCGUAUUAGCUAGUUGGUAAGGUAACGGCUUACCAAGGCGACGAUACGUAGCCGACCUGAGAGGGUGAUCGGCCACACUGGAACUGAGACACGGUCCAGACUCCUACGGGAGGCAGCAGUAGGGAAUCUUCCGCAAUGGGCGAAAGCCUGACGGAGCAACGCCGCGUGAGUGAUGAAGGUCUUCGGAUCGUAAAACUCUGUUGUUAGGGAAGAACAAAUUUGUUAGUAACUGAGCAAGUCUUGACGGUACCUAACCAGAAAGCCACGGCUAACUACGUGCCAGCAGCCGCGGUAAUACGUAGGUGGCAAGCGUUAUCCGGAAUUAUUGGGCGUAAAGCGCGCGUAGGCGGUUUCUUAAGUCUGAUGUGAAAGCCCACGGCUCAACCGUGGAGGGUCAUUGGAAACUGGGAAACUUGAGUGCAGAAGAGGAGAGUGGAAUUCCAUGUGUAGCGGUGAAAUGCGCAGAGAUAUGGAGGAACACCAGUGGCGAAGGCGGCUCUCUGGUCUGUAACUGACGCUGAUGUGCGAAAGCGUGAGGAUCAAACAGGAUUAGAUACCCUGGUAGUCCACGCCGUAAACGAUGAGUGCUAAGUGUUAAGGGGUUUCCGCCCCUUAUUGCUGCAGCUAACGCAUUAAGCACUCCGCCUGCGGAGUACGACCGCAAGGGUGAUACUCAAAGGAAUUGACGGGGACCCGCACAAGCGGUGGAACAUGUGGUUUAUUCGAAGCAACGCGAACAACCUUACAAAUCUUGACAUCCUUUGACCGCUCUAAAAAUAAAAUCUUCCCCUGCGGCGAAAAAAUGACAGGUGAUGCAUGAUUGUCGUCAACUCCUGUCAUGAAAUGUUGGGUUAAUCCCGCAACGACCGCACCCUGAGCUUAUUGCCAUCAUUAUUUGGCACUCUAGGUGACUGCCGUGACAACCGAAGAAAGGUGGGAUGACUUCAAUCUUCUGCCCCUUUUAUUUGGCUACCCCGUGCUAAAUGAAAUAAAAAGGGACAAAACCCCAAACCA